AAUACCACCCUAUGCGGUGGAUCACUUGGCUCGCGAGUCGAUGAAGAGCGCAGCAAACUGCGUGAAUUAAUGUGAUUUGCAGGACACAUUGAUCAUCGAUAUCUUGAACGCAUAUUGCGGUUAUGGAUCGCUUCCAUGACCACGCCUGUCUGAGGGUCGGUAUUAA
This 166-nucleotide ribosomal RNA is filed under the name Brachionus calyciflorus. RNAcentral describes it as "5.8S ribosomal RNA". It matches the Rfam family "5.8S ribosomal RNA". From Rfam's summary of the family: 5.8S ribosomal RNA (5.8S rRNA) is a component of the large subunit of the eukaryotic ribosome. It is transcribed by RNA polymerase I as part of the 45S precursor that also contains 18S and 28S rRNA. The record is from RNAcentral. Lineage: Eukaryota; Metazoa; Rotifera; Eurotatoria; Ploima; Brachionidae.